GGCUGGUACGACGGUAGUGGGUUAUCAGAACUUAUUAACAUUAGUGUCACUAAAGUUGGUAUACAACUCCCCACUGUCAAAUUUGACUGGCUUUAA
RNAcentral lists this Y RNA (96 nucleotides) under Prolemur simus (greater bamboo lemur). RNAcentral describes it as "Y RNA (ENSPSMG00000021583.1)". It matches the Rfam family "Y RNA". Rfam says of the family: Y RNAs are components of the Ro ribonucleoprotein particle (Ro RNP), in association with Ro60 and La proteins. The Y RNAs and Ro60 and La proteins are well conserved, but the function of the Ro RNP is not known. Lineage: Eukaryota; Metazoa; Chordata; Mammalia; Primates; Lemuridae. The record is from Rfam by way of RNAcentral.